This 2862-nucleotide long non-coding RNA is filed under the name Homo sapiens (human). Its description in RNAcentral is "non-protein coding MAFTRR:1". The record is from RNAcentral. Lineage: Eukaryota; Metazoa; Chordata; Mammalia; Primates; Hominidae.
GGCGACUAAAGCAUGCAUGAGCUGGGAAUGGUGACAAGUUGCAAAGGGAAAGGGGGAGGGUAGGCAGGGUAAGAAAGAAAACUUAGGGCUGGGGUGUGAAGGGUCUCUUGGUUUGUUUUCCUGGCUGGGACAGCGAACUUCUCCGCAGCCAAGUUUCUGGAGCGGGGCCGGCCGCUUCGCGGCUCCCAUUGGUCCGGCCGCGGCUGUUGCUAGGCGGAUGGACCAAUGGCGCGCGAAGGGCGUCUGGGCUCCUCCUCUUCUGGGCCGCGGCUGGAGCCCGGGAAGCGGCGGCGUCCGCGCUUCUCCCGGCGGCUCUUUCUCUUCUUCUUUUUUUUUUUUUUUUUUAAGGCGGGGCGGGGCUGGGGGCGCGGCGUCGCGGAGCUCGGGCCGGUGGAAGGUUUACCUGCUAGGCUCGUCCCACCUGUGUGGAGCUCCCAUCGCCCUCCAGCGUUGCGCAGCCUGAAGGGACAGGACGGACAAGCGGGUGCCUCCUUCUAAUUCAUCUUCACCAUUGUGGUUGUCAAUAUGGCAUGCAGAAUUAUCCCUCUUUCCAGCUUCUGGAGUCUACCUGGAUUCCUGGGCUCAUGGCCCCUUCCUCCAUCUUCAAACCAGCAAUGAUGGAGCUGAGCCUGACACUCUAACCGGUUCUCUGGGUGUACUGCAAAGGUCUAAUAAAAGGCACCUUUGCCCGGUUGCUUCAAUUCUAGGAAGCUGUUCAAUGUUUGACUAUAUUUCUCCAUACUCAUUUGAAAACAGUUCAUCAGAUUGGAACGACCUGGAGCAGCCAGCAGAGUGACAAAUGAGGAAGAGGACAGAAUCUAGCUGAAGAAGCUCUGGAAGAUACCAUUUGAAGUCUUGAGUGCUUGAACUCACAAAGAAAGCACAUGAGUACACACUAGCACUUGAGCUCUUCAUUUUAAACAGAAUAAAGAAUGUACUGCUAUUAUUGUCAUUUUACAGAUAGGGAAAUUCAGACUCACCAGGGCUACUCAGAUACAAAGAAAAUGAGCCAGAAUUUCAAGCAAGCCUGAGCUUAGAAUCUACACUAUUUUUUUUUUUUUUUUUGAGACAUGGUCUUACUUUGUCACCCAGGCUGGAGUUCAGUGGUAUUAGGUUGGCACAAAAGUAAUUGUGGUCUCUGCCACUUAAAACUAGAGCCCGAAACUGCAAUUACUUUUGCACCAACCUAAUGCACUUACCAGAGCUCACUUACGCCUUGACCUCCUGGGCUCAAGUGAUUCUCCCACCUCAGCCUCCCAAGUGGCUGGGAAUGUGGGCAUGCACCACCCUGCCCGGCUAGCUUUUCUUUCUUUUUUUUUUGUGGAGACAGGAUUUUGCCAUGUUGUCCCGGCUGGUCUUUAACUCCUGAGCUCAAACUAUCCUUCUGCCCUGGCCUCCCAAAGUUCUGGGAUUACAGGCAUGAGCCACUGUGCCCGGCCCAGAACCUAUGCUCCUAACUGCCACACCAAUUGACCUCUAUUCAGCCAUUUUUAUUUCUAUAGCACUUGGUAUAAUUUCACUUUGCACACAGUAUCUAUAGAUAAUCAUUCCAGGGCAUGUAAUCGUCAUAAGAUUAUUUAUGUUAUUGCAUGUGUAUUACUGCAUGUAAUCUUCAUGUGUUAUUGCCUCUAACAAGUUAUGUAUUUCCAUGUAGUCUUCAUAACUGUGUAUAGAAGACCAUUUUAGAGAUGGAAAACUGAGACUCAGAAGUGGUAAUUGUCCUACUGGUCAGAGAUUUAGCCAGGGUUUGGAUUGUGGAAUGCAGAGGACCACUUACUUUUCACUAGACCAUAAAUGCUCCUCACCACUGAGGCAUGUCAAAUGCCAGAUAUCUCCAGGAACCUUAGGCUACGUCUCCAUUGUUUUUGCUUUUUCCCCCCUUAGACACAGCUUGGCAAAGAACAAAUGAUCCCAAACACCAAACAGCACACUUGGAAACAUUUAACCCGCAUACUUUCAGACUUUCUGGCAUGGACCAACCUCUUGUCUUACCUUUGUUCCUGGCCAGAAAGAAAUGGCAUGAAAAGAUGGACAGUUUUUAUAACCUCUUUGAGCUCUAAACCAUGUUUCCUGUGCACUUAGGAGAUCUUAAUAGAAACCAAGUACUUCUUUUAGGCAUCUAUACUCUUAAUGCCGUAAGUCAAGUCAAGUACCCAGGUGGUUAAGAUAACUGUACCAACAGAAACAUUUUUAAAAAAUAUCCUAACACAACAUGAAGUGACCAUCGCGAAUUCAAAGAAGCAGGCAUAUUUCUUAAAGGUUGAAAAGAGGUGAGUCUUUCACAAGAUUCUAGCUCAAGGCCAUAUUUGCACAAGUAUAGUCAUUCCUCUAGCAAGGUUUUGUUUAUCUGGCCAUUAAAAAAAAUUAAAACAACUUUUACUUUCGGCUGUUUGAACAAGAACUGUUUUUCCAGCUGUGCAGUCUAAGGAGGAUACAAGAGGCCUGGUUUGGUUAUAUUUUUUCCAGAAUAAGAAAGUUUCCUACACAAUUCUGCUUGGGCUAAACUGCAUACAGAGCAGUUUAUUUAUACUGUUUUAUCGCACACCUGUUUGGAUAUGGGCUAUUUUCUGGUAUUUAAACAUACCGUUUCUUGCCAAUUGCUUUAUCUUCAGAGUCCUAUGGUUUGGCUGCAAAUGUUUGUUAUUAACUCAGAAAGAAACACCAAUUGCUCUAUGAACAUUAUUAGUGAGGACUAAGAUAACUUAAUUGUUACUUACUUCAAACAUGUUAUCACUGAAGAACUUUAUCCCAGAAAUCCAUUCAAAAUAAGGUAGAGGCCAUUUCACUAUACUUAAAGGGAAAAAAGGAGUUAACAAAGCCUUUUUGGAAUACAAUCUUUAAUGAAACACUGUUUUUCUAAAA